Long non-coding RNA from Xyrauchen texanus (razorback sucker), 385 nucleotides. RefSeq lists it as uncharacterized. The record is from RefSeq and is a predicted model, not a curated record. The transcript has 3 exons. Lineage: Eukaryota; Metazoa; Chordata; Actinopteri; Cypriniformes; Catostomidae.
CCACGCAGUCCACCCUCAGCAUCCUGGCACUGACAGAGACAUGGAUACGUCCUGAGGAUACAGCAACACCUGCUGCUCUCUCUAACAACUUCUCCUUCUCCCACACCCCUCGACAUACUGGUAGGGGUGGGGGAACAGGUCAGCUGACAAGCUUUCUUGAGGAAUUGGAUGUCCUGCUGUCCUCCUUGCCAGAGGAUGGCAGGCCACUUGUGGUUCUUGGUGAUUUCAACAUACACCAGGACAAACCCCAGGCCAUUGAACUGAAUACUCUUCUGGCCUCAUUUGACUUGGAAAGACUACACACCACAGCAACUCACAGGUCGGGCAACCAGCUGGACCUCAUUUUUACACACCAGCACGGACUACACCACCCAGCCCCUGGCUG